GACGAACGCUGGCGGCGUGCCUAACACAUGCAAGUCGAGCGGAGUCGAUCGACGGAAGCCUUCGGGCGGAAGAUGGUUGACUUAGCGGCGGAUGGGUGAGUAACGCGUGGGCAACCUGCCUCGAAGACCGGGAUAACAGUCCGAAAGGGCUGCUAAUACCGGAUGUGGUCAAGGAUCCGCAUGGAUUUUUGAUUAAAGGGGAAACCCGUUUCGAGAUGGGCCCGCGUCCUAUCAGCUAGUUGGUGAGGUAAAAGCUCACCAAGGCGACGACGGGUAGCCGGCCUGAGAGGGUGACCGGCCACACUGGAACUGAGACACGGUCCAGACUCCUACGGGGGGCAGCAGUGGGGAAUCUUCCACAAUGGGCGAAAGCCUGAUGGAGCGACGCCGCGUGAGCGAAGAAGGCCUUCGGUUGUAAAGCUCUGUCUGGAGGGACGAAGGAAGUGACGGUACCUCCGGAGGAAGCCACGGCUAACUACGUG
Molecule: ribosomal RNA, 482 nt
Filed under: uncultured bacterium
Lineage: Bacteria
Description: bacterial SSU rRNA
Rfam family: Bacterial small subunit ribosomal RNA
Source: RNAcentral